GAUUAACUAAUGCGAAAGCAUUUUGCAAAGGUGUUUUCAUUAAUCAAGAACGAAAGUUAAGGGAUUGAAGAUGAUCAGAUACCGUCGUAAUCUUAACUAUAAACAAUGUCGACAAAAGAUAGGAUUGAUUGUAUAAAUAUAUAAUCUUUCUUAAUAAAAAAGGUACUUAAAUGAGAGAAAGUUUAAUUUCUAUCAAAUGAAAAUUAACUUCUUUCUGUAACUGUCUCUUCCUGAAUUUCGUAAGAAAUUAAGAGUGAUCGGACUUUGGGGGGAGUAUGGUCGCAAGGCUGAAACUUAAAGGAAUUGACGGAAGAGCACCACAAGGUUGUGGAACUUGCG
Molecule: ribosomal RNA, 339 nt
Filed under: Climacostomum virens
Lineage: Eukaryota; Ciliophora; Heterotrichea; Heterotrichida; Climacostomidae
Description: partial Eukaryotic small subunit ribosomal RNA
Rfam family: Eukaryotic small subunit ribosomal RNA
Source: RNAcentral